Molecule: long non-coding RNA, 620 nt
Filed under: Phascolarctos cinereus (koala)
Lineage: Eukaryota; Metazoa; Chordata; Mammalia; Diprotodontia; Phascolarctidae
Description: lncRNA (ENSPCIG00000034675.1)
Source: RNAcentral
GCAUGAUGAGAAGAAGAUACACUUCUAUGAUAAAAUGAAGGAUUGAGCAUUCUGAUUCCAGGGUAAGAAGCCAUUAUUCCUCCCGCCUUUCACUGGAAAGAUGCAGUCAGUCAGUCAACAUCCACAAGAACCCUGCUACAGUCUUUGGGAUGGCUCAAGUGACCAGAGGGCUCUGGAAAGUCAUCUCUGUGCCACAAACUGGGCCAGGUUUCACUCAAUUCAAAGGUUCUGAAUCUAGACCCAGUGAAGGACUUAACAGUGUGUGGAGGUGGCCUGUGGACCAGCCAAACAAAGUGCCAAGAUCGUACCACAAGAUAAGCUGCCCUCCCUCUGUUAGGGAGGAAGCUCAACAUAUUCCAAACACUUAGGCACUCCUCUGCCCCAAGACAGAGACAAGAUCUGUUUCAUCUGUUCUGGAAAAGUUGACCAUAUAUGUGUUCUCAACACAGAAUAAGGUAAAGAUUGGUAUAGAAAAAAGGGUUUCGCAUUAUAUUUUAUUUAAAUUGCCUUAGAGAGCAAACACACAUCACUUCAUUCCAAAGUCAUGUAAAUGCUUUUUAGAUUAUCUUAUAUACUACUGAGAGCUGAACUUCAACCAUUGAGAAAUUUAGCAAAACAUG